This 1214-nucleotide unclassified non-coding RNA is filed under the name uncultured Neocallimastigales. RNAcentral describes it as "partial contains small subunit ribosomal RNA, internal transcribed spacer 1, 5.8S ribosomal RNA, internal transcribed spacer 2, and large subunit ribosomal RNA". The stretch from base 608 to 1214 matches the Rfam family "Eukaryotic large subunit ribosomal RNA", at positions 1 to 615 of the family's 3401-position model. The record is from RNAcentral. Lineage: Eukaryota; Fungi; Neocallimastigomycota; Neocallimastigomycetes; Neocallimastigales.
UUUCCGUAGGUGAACCUGCGGAAGGAUCAUUAAAAAAUGAGACCUGAUUCAAGGUCUAUUAAUAAUCCUACCCUUUGUGAAUUUGUUUUGUUUUAAUAUGUGUCUUUCCCUGGUUUUUGAUGGAGCUUGUUUUAAAGCAAAAUCAAUCCAGGGGAAUGGCAAAAUUUUUUUUAAAUUAAACUUUUUGUAUUCAUUUGUCUAAAAUUAUUUUUAUAAUAUAAAAACAACUUUGACAAUGGAUCUCUUGGUUCUCGCAACGAUGAAGAACGCCAGCAAAAUGCGAUAAGUAGUGUGAAUUGCAGAAUACGUGAAUCAUCGAAUCUUCGAACGCAUAUGCACUUUUUUGGUUUACCAAAAAAGUAUGUCUGUUUGAGUAUCAGUAAAAUAUUCUCAUAAAACUAUUUGUUUUUAUGGUUAUGAGUGUUUUUACAACGAUAAACAAGUUGUUUCACUUUAAAUUCUUUGUCUUUUAAAAAAAUCAUUAAAAACUGAUUUUUUUUUAAAAUUGGAUAAAAUUUUCCCGUAAAAAGGAAUAACCUAAACAAUUUUAAUUAAAAUUGGUUUGAUUUCUUUUAAGACUUUAAAGGAAAAAAAGUAAAAAUUAACUUGAUCUCAAAUCAGAUAAGAGUACCCGCUGAACUUAAGCAUAUCAAUAAGCGGAGGAAAAGAAACUAACUAGGAUUCCCUCAGUAACGGCGAGUGAAGCGGGAAGAGCUCAAUUUGAAAUCUUCAAGGUUCUACCUUGACGAAUUGUAGUUUAAAGAAGUGUUUCUGUUGGAGUUUUGGUAAAAGUUCUUUGGAAUAGGACAUCAUAGAGGGUGAGAAUCCCGUAUUUGACAUUAUUUCCAACUGUGUGAUACACUUUCAAAGAGUCGGAUUGUUUGGGAAUGCAGUCCAAAAUGGGUGGUAAAUUUCAUCUAAAGCUAAAUAUUGGCGAGAGACCGAUAGCGAACAAGUACCGUGAGGGAAAGAUGAAAAGAACUUUGAAAAGAGAGUUAAACAGUACGUGAAAUUGUCAAAAGGGAAGCGUUUGACACCAGUGUUGUUUUCUCGAAAAUCAAUUAAAAAUGAUGGGAUUUUGUGUUGUAUUGACUUCAUCAGCUUUCUGCACUUUUUUCUUAUCUUUUUAAUGCACUUUCGUUUAAACAAGUCAACAUCAAUUUCUUUGUCGUAAAGAGUCAUUGGAAGGUGGCCUUUUCUUCGGAAAAAGCGUU